CACCAGGUUGAUUCUGCCUGACGUGGACGCUAGCCUUGAAGAUUAAGCCAUGCAAGCUUGUGAAUAUUAUAUAUGAAACAGUGAACGGCUCAGUAUAACACGUCUAUCUACCCCAUAUUAUUUAUAACCACGGGAAACUGUGGCUAAGUAUUAGGAUGAGGAUGUGACCUAUCAGCUUGACGGUACGGUAAGUGCGUACCGUGGCUAUAACGGGUAACGGGGAAUAUGGGUUUUAUUCCGGAGAGGGAGCCUGAGAGAUGGCUGCCACGUCCAAGGACGGCAGCAGGCGCGAAACUUACCCAAUGAACAUUGAGGUAGUUACGAGGCGUAUUAUUAGUGUAUAUGGUGUGUAUAAACAGCACACCGAAGUACUGGAGGGCAAGUCUGGUGCCAGCAGCCGCGGUAAUACCAGCUCCAGUAGCGUCUGUGUUUAUUGCUGCGGUUAAAAUGUGCGUAGUCUGGUUAGUGGUCUGGAGUAAAUCUUUUGUAUCUAACAACAGGGUAUUCUAGAGACUUAUACCUUGAGACAGGGAAGAGGCGAUGAUAUUUGGUAGCGAGAGGUGAAAAUCGAUGACCUACCAAGGAGCACCGGAGGCGAAAGCGAUCGCCGAGAACUGUUCUGACGAUCAAGCGCGUGAGCAGGAGUAUCGAAGAGGAUUAGAGACCCACGUAGUUCCUUGCAGUCAACGAUGCCAACGCUGUGGUGGUAUUUACCAUUGCAGAGGCGAAAGCUAGUGUAUGGGCUCCGGGGAUAGUACGGACGCAAGUUUGAAACUUGAAGAAAUUGACGGAAGGACACCACAAGGAGUGGAGUGUGCGGGUUAAUUUGACUCAACGCGGGAAAACUUACCCGGGCAGGCAAUUGUCGAGGGAAGCUAUUGUAGCUGAUGAUAUUGCGCGUGGUGCAUGGCCGUUCUUAACACGUGGAGUGAUCUGUCUGGUCAAAUCUGAUAACGCGUGAGAGGUGAGUGGUUGCUUUUGUGACUAGACGGUGUCUGUAAAGACAAGGAAGCGACACCCAAUAACAGGUCUGUGAUGCCCGUAGAUGUCCGGGGCUCCACGCGCACUACAAUGGGUGGUAGUAUUAGUAAAGUGUAGCUAGCCGUAGUUGGGAUUGACAUAUGUAAUUAUGUCAUGAACGUGGAAUUCCUAGUAGUUGGUAGUCACUAACGACUAACGAAUGUGUCCCUGUUCUUUGUACACACCGCCCGUCGUUAUCUAAGAUGGAAGUGCGGGUGAAGAUGCGAGCAGUCAGGUGAUGGGGAUAAGUGUUUGUGAGUAAUGAAUGCUUGGAACUGUUGCUGGUAAAUGAUUGUGAGUGUAAGAACCCGUGCAGCUAAAUUGGAUGUAAGUCGUAACAAGGUAACC
RNAcentral lists this ribosomal RNA (1368 nucleotides) under Amblyospora connecticus. RNAcentral's name for it is "SSU rRNA". It matches the Rfam family "Microsporidia small subunit ribosomal RNA". The record is from RNAcentral. Lineage: Eukaryota; Fungi; Microsporidia; Amblyosporidae.